This 615-nucleotide unclassified non-coding RNA is filed under the name Acromyrmex echinatior (Panamanian leafcutter ant). RNAcentral's name for it is "uncharacterized LOC105148731, transcript variant X2". The record is from RNAcentral. Lineage: Eukaryota; Metazoa; Arthropoda; Insecta; Hymenoptera; Formicidae.
UGAUUACAAGGCAACGGCAGCCAUUUCGACGCUUCUCGACGCUUUUCCACGCUCACGAAUUCGUCCAGGUGAGGAUCAAGCUCAUUUGCGUCCGUCGCGUUCACAAAUUGUUCGUAGUUUGUAAUCAGCGUUCUUCUUCAUGAUAUACUUCACUUCUGUAUAGCAAUUCGGGAUUUAGACGAUCCAGUGAGUGUAUUAGGUGUCAAGGAUAGAUUUGGCCUCCUUGGUGGAUUUUGCACAUUAAUAUGGUGCAGUUAACUACUUUUCUGCUUCUACAUUUGAUUAUUCCCUGAUGAGUGGUUGCUGUUCGAUCAUCUUUGUUAUCAAUCAAAUCUUUCGUCGUACGUUUUAGCUGAGAAAGAGAAAAAGAAAGAAGGAGAGACAGUGUAAAGAAGAAAGAAGUUUCUAAAGUCUGAAAGGCAGGUUAAUUAUUUAUCUCCACGAGCUGUCUGUGAACGUCUAUUUACAUAUGUAUAUCUCUAUAUAUAUUCUACAUAGUAUGAUUUUACUUUACUUAUACCGAGAAUCUUAUAUACGGGUAAGUAAUUUAUGAUCACAAAUUUUUCAAAAAUAAUAAAGAAGUUUAAAAAACUGAAGUUUAAUAAACAAAAUGGA